GACGAACGCUGGCGGCGUGCUUAACACAUGCAAGUCGAACGGAAAGGCCCUGCUUUUGUGGGGUGCUCGAGUGGCGAACGGGUGAGUAACACGUGAGUAACCUGCCCUUGACUUUGGGAUAACUUCAGGAAACUGGGGCUAAUACCGGAUAGGAGCUCCUGCUGCAUGGUGGGGGUUGGAAAGUUUCGGCGGUUGGGGAUGGACUCGCGGCUUAUCAGCUUGUUGGUGGGGUAGUGGCUUACCAAGGCUUUGACGGGUAGCCGGCCUGAGAGGGUGACCGGACGGACUGAGGCGGCGGUCAGGCCCAGGAGCCGAGGGGGGGCGGCGGUGGGAAGGAGGGCGAGGCGGGCGGAAGCCGGGGGAGGAUGCGCCGGGGGGGGGAGGACGGCGGGGGGGUUGCACCCCGCUGUCGCCUGUGACGCAGGGUGGGUGACGGUAGGGAGUAAGGAAACAGCAGCUACAUCCGUGACAGCGGCCGGGGUAAGAAUCGGAGGCGCAACCGUCUGACC
Molecule: ribosomal RNA, 509 nt
Filed under: uncultured bacterium
Lineage: Bacteria
Description: partial 16S ribosomal RNA
Rfam family: Bacterial small subunit ribosomal RNA (bases 20-332)
Source: RNAcentral